AUUGAACGCUGGCGGCAGGCCUAACACAUGCAAGUCGCGCGAGCGGCGGACGGGUGAGUAAUGUCUGGGAAACUGCCUGAUGGAGGGGGAUAACUUCUGGAAACGGUAGCUAAUACCGCAUACCAUCAGAUUUGCCCAGAUGGGAUUAGCUAGUAGGUGGGGUAACGGCGCACCUAGGCGACGAUCCCUAGCUGGUCUUAGAGGUUGACCAGCCACACUGGAACUGAGACACGGGCCAGACUCCUACGGGAGGCAGCAGGGGGGAAGAUUACACAAUGGGCGCGAGCCUGAUGCAGCCAUGCCGCGUGGGUGAAGAAGGCCUUCGGGUUGUAAAGCACUUUCAGCGGGGAGGCGUUACCCGCAGAAGAAGCACCGGCUAACUCCGUGACAGCAGCCGCGGUAAUUC
This 406-nucleotide ribosomal RNA is filed under the name uncultured bacterium. Its description in RNAcentral is "partial 16S ribosomal RNA". It matches the Rfam family "Bacterial small subunit ribosomal RNA", at positions 30 to 526 of the family's 1533-position model. The record is from RNAcentral.